ACAAAACCCCGCACACCGGUGGCUAGGCUGACUCGGGCGAGUUGUUUCAGUUUCGCUCGUAGAACGAGGAAUUCGAAUAUUUCAAUCCGUGCGUGAAUCGCGACCACUUGCGACGUACGUUCACGGUAUAUAUAAUCGGUUUGUUUAAAAAUUUUAAGAAAUUCGUGUAAAUUGUUUCUUCUUCUCUCUUCUCGUCCGCAAUUUUUUAAUUUUUCAUCAAACUGAUUGUGAAUUAGAUGUGACGAAUACGCAAGAAAUUAAAGAAAUGAAUCAAGAUUAAACAUUCUUAAAUACAAAAAAAUAAUUAUGAAAAAUAAAAAAAAACUGUCGCGUAUAAAAAUUUUUUAAUUUCUUCACGAAACCGUUCAUCAAGCGUCAUGCAUAUAAGCAAUUAUUCGGGAUGAUCCCGCAGCCGCGUCUACGGCGUCGAUCUGCAACCCCCCACAGAUUCUGGUUACAUGCAGCAUCCGACCAUCGUGAAGAAAAUCUCUUGGCGUCAAAUCUCCGAGAAAAUCCACUUAGAUAACGAAGCUAAUUGCGGGGAAGGACUUUGAGCAGUCUCAUAGCAGCUCUGCAUCUACAACGCAGAAUUUGUCGGUGCAUCCACAUGAGUGUCUAAUCCAUGAUAUUUGUGAACCUAA
This is a long non-coding RNA of Athalia rosae (coleseed sawfly), 641 nucleotides long. RefSeq lists it as uncharacterized. Lineage: Eukaryota; Metazoa; Arthropoda; Insecta; Hymenoptera; Athaliidae. The record is from RefSeq and is a predicted model, not a curated record. The transcript is spliced from 3 exons.